Molecule: ribosomal RNA, 429 nt
Filed under: Gemmatimonadota bacterium
Lineage: Bacteria; Pseudomonadati; Gemmatimonadota
Description: Gemmatimonadetes bacterium partial 16S ribosomal RNA
Rfam family: Bacterial small subunit ribosomal RNA
Source: RNAcentral
UAGGGAAUCUUCGGCAAUGGACGAAAGUCUGACCGAGCAACGCCGCGUGAGUGAAGAAGGUUUUCGGAUCGUAAAACUCUGUUGUUAGAGAAGAACAAGGACGUUAGUAACUGAACGUCCCCUGACGGUAUCUAACCAGAAAGCCACGGCUAACUACGUGCCAGCAGCCGCGGUAAUACGUAGGUGGCAAGCGUUGUCCGGAUUUAUUGGGCGUAAAGCGAGCGCAGGCGGUUUCUUAAGUCUGGUGUGAAAGCCCCCGGCUCAACCGGGGAGGGUCAUUGGAAACUGGGAGACUUGAGUGCAGAAGAGGAGAGUGGAAUUCCAUGUGUAGCGGUGAAAUGCGUAGAUAUAUGGAGGAACACCAGUGGCGAAGGCGGCUCUCUGGUCUGUAACUGACGCUGAGGAUCGAAAGCGUGGGGAGCAAACAGG